GUAAAAAUAACAGAUAAAAAACCUUAAAAGACUUUUUGUCCUUUUAUUUUCAAACGUCGUGCCCAGGACGAGGCAGUUGACUUCUUGCCCAGGAUAGGGCAGUUUAACUUCAUACCCAGGACGAGGCAGUUGACUUCUUGCCCAGGAUAGGGCAGUUUAACUUCAUACCCAGGACGAGGCAGUUGACUUCUUGCCCAGGAUAGGGCAGUUUAACUUCAUACCCAGGACGAGGCAGUUUACUUCUUACCCAGGAUAGGGCAGUUUAACGUCAUACCCAGGACGAGGUACUUUA
Molecule: long non-coding RNA, 292 nt
Organism: Biomphalaria glabrata
Lineage: Eukaryota; Metazoa; Mollusca; Gastropoda; Planorbidae
Exons: 3
Source: RefSeq, a predicted model, not a curated record